CACGUAGGGGGCGAGCGUUGUCCGGAUUUAUUGGGCGUAAAGAGCUCGUAGGCGGCUUGUUGCGUCGACCGUGAAAACCCGGGGCUCAACUUCGGGCUUGCGGUCGAUACGGGCGGGCUAGAGUUCGGUAGGGGAGACUGGAAUUCCCGGUGUAGCGGUGAAAUGCGCAGAUAUCGGGAGGAACACCCGUAGCGAAGGCGGCACUCUGGGCCGGAACUGACGCUGAGGAGCGAAAGCGUGGGGAGCAAACAGG
Molecule: ribosomal RNA, 253 nt
Filed under: uncultured bacterium
Lineage: Bacteria
Description: partial 16S ribosomal RNA
Rfam family: Bacterial small subunit ribosomal RNA
Source: RNAcentral